This 460-nucleotide ribosomal RNA is filed under the name uncultured bacterium. Its description in RNAcentral is "partial 16S ribosomal RNA". It matches the Rfam family "Bacterial small subunit ribosomal RNA", at positions 338 to 795 of the family's 1533-position model. The record is from RNAcentral.
CCUACGGGAGGCAGCAGUGAGGAAUAUUGGUCAAUGGGCGCGAGCCUGAACCAGCCAAGUAGCGUGAAGGAUGACUGCCCUACGGGUUGUAAACUUCUUUUAUAAAGGAAUAAAGUGAGGCACGUGUGCCUGUUUGUAUGUACUGUAUGAAUAAGGAUCGGCUAACUCCGUGCCAGCAGCCGCGGUAAUACGGAGGAUCCGAGCGUUAUCCGGAUUUAUUGGGUUUAAAGGGAGCGUAGACGGGUUGUAAAGUCGGUUGUGAAAGGUUGCGGCUCAACCGUAAAAUUGCAAUUGAUACUGGCAGUCUUGAGUACAGUUGCGGUCGGCGGAAUUCGUGGUGUAGCGGUGAAAUGCUUAGAUAUCACGAAGAACUCCGAUUGCGAAGGCAGCUUACUAAACUGCCACUGACAUUGCUGCUCGAAAGUGUGGGUAUCAAACAGGAUUAGAUACCCGAGUAGUC